CUACGGGCGGCUCCAGUGAGGAAUAUUGCACAAUGGAGGAAACUCUGAUGCAGCAACGCCGCGUGGAGGAUGACGCAUUUCGGUGUGUAGACUCCUUUUAUAUGUCAAGAAAAUGACGGUAGCAUAUGAAUAAGCACCGGCUAACUCCGUGCCAGCAGCCGCGGUAAUACGGAGGGUGCAAGCGUUACUCGGAAUCACUGGGCGUAAAGGACGCGUAGGCGGGAUAUCAAGUCAGGUGUGAAAUCCUACAGCUUAACUGUAGAACUGCACUUGAAACUGGUAACCUAGAGUAUGGGAGGGGGAGAUGGAAUUAGUGGUGUAGGGGUAAAAUCCGUAGAUAUCACUAGGAAUACCUAAAGCGAAGGCGAUCUCCUGGAACAUAACUGACACUAAGGCGUGAAAGCGUGGGGAGCAAACAGGAUUAGAUACCCUAGUAGUC
This 439-nucleotide ribosomal RNA is filed under the name uncultured bacterium. RNAcentral describes it as "partial 16S ribosomal RNA". It matches the Rfam family "Bacterial small subunit ribosomal RNA", at positions 339 to 795 of the family's 1533-position model. The record is from RNAcentral.